ANUGGGCGAAAGCCUGAUGCAGCGACGCCGCGUGGGGGAUGAAGCUUCUCGGAGUGUAAACCCCUUUCGACCCGGACGAAUGCCCCGCAAGGGGACUGACGGUACGGGUAUAAGAAGCCCCGGCUAACUACGUGCCAGCAGCCGCGGUAAGACGUGGGGGGCCAGCGUUGCUCGGAAUUACUGGGUGUAAAGGGUUCGUAGGCGGUGUGGCAAGUCGGGAGUGAAAUCUCUGGGCUUAACUCAGAGACUGCUUCCGAAACUGCUGUGCUUGAGUGUGGGAGAGGCGCGUGGAAUUGCAGGUGUAGCGGUGAAAUGCGUAGAUAUCUGCAGGAACACCCGUGGCGAAAGCGGCGCGCUGGACCACUACUGACGCUGAGGAACGAAAGCUAGGGGAGCAAACAGGAUUAGAUACCCUGGUAGUCCUAGCCCUAAACGAUCAGGACUUGGGGUGCCACCCGUCCGGGUGUCGUCCCGGAGCUAACGCGUUAAGUCCUGCACCUGGGGAGUACGGUCGCAAGACUGAAACUCAAAAGAAUUGACGGA
Molecule: ribosomal RNA, 543 nt
Filed under: uncultured bacterium
Lineage: Bacteria
Description: bacterial SSU rRNA
Rfam family: Bacterial small subunit ribosomal RNA
Source: RNAcentral